UUUGGUUUGCAGUAGGUGUAGCCAGUUUGACGGAAGAGCCGAAGAGUCACUCAUGCUAUAAAAAGUAAAAAGGUGAAGGGUGGGAGAUUUUGAAUCCGGGAGACAAUCUUUCAUGCUGUGGAGAGAUGUCCUGUUUUUUUUUUUUCUUUCUUUUUUUUAUUUGUGGUUUCUCAACUUUAAGGUUAGCAGUAGGCGUGGAUGAUUGCUAGCUAGUAAGUAGAUGUGCAAAUGCCUAGUGCUCAUGAUUCUAGAGACAGAGGGAGGGAGAUUGUUGUUUUUUUCAAAGGGAAACAGCUUGCCCUCAAGGUCCAGAGAUGGUGAGGUCUCUCCCUGUUAUUGUUCCAUUAAUAAAUCACAUUUGGACAAAAAACCAUCAUGUAAGUUUUCUUCUACUCUUUUCGUGGUCACAGCUGUAAAGUUUACAGGACAAUAAAAGAGAGAUCAGGACCAUACAUGUGGUCUGGGCCUCUCUUUCCAGCCAGAUGUGUUGUUUUUAUUUUAAAAAAAUGCCAUGAAAUCACGCUGCUACAUUAAUGUAAAGAACUGUUUCCGUGACUAAAUAUCUGUCGACCUUGCUUCUCUGUCCA
Molecule: long non-coding RNA, 587 nt
Organism: Populus trichocarpa (black cottonwood)
Lineage: Eukaryota; Viridiplantae; Streptophyta; Magnoliopsida; Malpighiales; Salicaceae
Exons: 2
Source: RefSeq, a predicted model, not a curated record